UCCUACGGGGCGCAGCAGUGAGGAAUAUUGGUCAAUGGCCGGAAGGCUGAACCAGCCAAGCCGCGUGAAGGACGAAGGUGCCAAGCAUUGUAAACCUCUUUUGCCGGGGAGCAAGCGUGCGUUCGUGAACGCGCGUCGAGAGUACCCGGAGAAAAAGCAUCGGCUAACUCCGUGCCAGCAGCCGCGGUAAUACGGAGGAUGCGAGCGUUAUCCGGAUUUAUUGGGUUUAAAGGGUGCGUAGGCGGGAUGCCAAGUCAGCGGUAAAAAUGCGGUGCUCAACGCCGUCGAGCCGUUGAAACUGGCGG
Molecule: ribosomal RNA, 305 nt
Filed under: uncultured bacterium
Lineage: Bacteria
Description: bacterial SSU rRNA
Rfam family: Bacterial small subunit ribosomal RNA
Source: RNAcentral